UCUGAGAUGCAGGAGGCAGAGCUUAGAAGCCAAGCAGUGGUGUUUAGUAAAUUAAGGCGCACAGUCCGGUAGGAUUGGGGUGGCGUCUAACAGCACAUCAUGGUAAAGAUGAGAACUACUGUCUGGAAGCCUGAGGUCACCAUCUUUUGCAGCUACAGUUCCUGAAGCAGGCAAGGAAUACUGCAAGCUCAGCCUCUUCCUGGCUCAUAUUGCCGAGGCACAGUCUGCGCUUCAGAGCUACGUAUCUGUUAUGUACUAAGCUUG
Non-coding RNA from Podarcis muralis (Common wall lizard), 264 nucleotides. The record is from RefSeq and is a predicted model, not a curated record. Lineage: Eukaryota; Metazoa; Chordata; Lepidosauria; Squamata; Lacertidae.